Molecule: ribosomal RNA, 567 nt
Filed under: uncultured Actinomycetes bacterium
Lineage: Bacteria; Bacillati; Actinomycetota; Actinomycetes
Description: bacterial SSU rRNA
Rfam family: Bacterial small subunit ribosomal RNA
Source: RNAcentral
CCUACGGGAGGCAGCAGUGGGGAAUAUUGGGCAAUGGGCGCAAGCCUGACCCAGCGACGCCGCGUGAGGGAUGAAGGCCUUCGGGUUGUAAACCUCUUUCAGUAGGGAAGAAGCGAAAGUGACGGUACCUAAAGAAGAAGCACCGGCUAACUAUGUGCCAGCAGCCGCGGUAAUACAUAGGGUGCAAGCGUUGUCCGGAAUUAUUGGGCGUAAAGAGCUCGUAGGUCGUUUGCCGCGUCGAUUGUGAAAAUCUGAGGCUCAACCUCAGACCUGCAGUCGAUACGGGCAAACUAGAGUGUGGUAGGGGAGACUGGAAUUCCUGGUGUAGCGGUGGAAUGCGCAGAUAUCAGGAGGAACACCAAUGGCGAAGGCAGGUCUCUGGGCCAUAACUGACACUGAGGAGCGAAAGCGCGGGGAGCGAACAGGAUUAGAUACCCUGGUAGUCCGCGCCGUAAACGGUGGGCACUAGUUGUGGGAACCUUCCACGGUUUCCGCGACGCAGCAAACGCAUUAAGUGCCCCGCCUGGGGAGUACGAUCGCAAGAUUAAAACUCAAAGGAAUUGACGG